Molecule: long non-coding RNA, 1011 nt
Organism: Tetranychus urticae (two-spotted spider mite)
Lineage: Eukaryota; Metazoa; Arthropoda; Arachnida; Trombidiformes; Tetranychidae
Source: RefSeq, a predicted model, not a curated record
GAAAUUGAUUGAAUCGUCUGGCUUUCGAAAUUUGUUUCUUUUUAAGUAAAGUUGUUUAGUGUAACAAAAGCCAAUCAUUUUUAAACAUGUACAUUGUAUUUUAAUACCUGUGAUGUUCAAUUGUUAUCUUUUUCUUUGGGUUGUCAACAUUGUUUGAUCUUUUCACCAUCUCAAGGAUUCACCUUUUGAACAGUUGAAGACGUAACAACCUCUCUUUUAAAACUAUCUUCAUCAUCAGUAGUAGCUGUUAAACAGCUUAAAUCUCCUUGAUUUUUGAUCUUUAUCCUCUCCUGUAUCUUUACAAUCGUAAUAUCUCACUUUUAUAUCCUGUGUCUGAUAUAAUUUAUUGCCUUCAACAUGCCUGGUAAACGAAAGUUGAGCCAAUUUGAAAGUGAAUUACCCUUGAAGGAAUUUGAUGUCCACCAAGAAUCAAUCAUGGAUUUUGUGUCCAUCAUGUUGAAUCAAGUUGAAAAUGUGGUUAGCGGUGCUGUUACAUCAAGUGAUAUCACAAGUAGCUUGGCAACAACACCACAUGGACCUUCUGGGGAAAUUCAAUUGCCUACAACUGAAACUCCUAGCUGAUUGAAUUCAUAAAUGGUGUUAAAAUCAAGACGAAUCAGACAAAUCGGACAAAUUGGACAAAUCGGACAAAUUACGAGCUUUCAUUGACAUAUUUAACCUAUUCUUUAUUCAUCUACUAUACAAUAUAUUUAUCCCCAUCUAAAUUUAAUGUCAAACACAAUACGAUGACAAAUAUGAAUGAAAAAUUGUGUCAACCUAAUAAUUUUGAUCGAUUUGUUCAUAUCGAUCUAGCUGAAAUACCAUGUGAUACACGACAAAUGAGUGAGAUAAGAAAAAAAAUUCCAUUCAACAUGUCAGCAUUAUUUUCUUUUUGUCAUUGACUUGGAAAAUUCUGAUUAAUACAUGCAUUUUGUACUUUAACUGCAUUAGGUAUUGACCAUGGAAUCACAUUGUAAUCAAUAAAUAUUAAUUUCCUAGCAAAUGAAAAAA